GACAAGGUAGCUCAGUUGGUUAGAGCGGUCGACUGAUAAUCGAUUGGUCGCGGGUUCGAUUCCCGCCCUUAUCU
RNAcentral lists this transfer RNA (74 nucleotides) under Candidatus Thiodiazotropha sp. (ex Lucinoma borealis). RNAcentral describes it as "tRNA-Ile". It matches the Rfam family "tRNA". Rfam says of the family: Transfer RNA (tRNA) molecules are approximately 80 nucleotides in length. The record is from RNAcentral. Lineage: Bacteria; Pseudomonadati; Pseudomonadota; Gammaproteobacteria; Chromatiales; Sedimenticolaceae. RNAcentral also lists the same sequence under 1 other name.